GACGUGCGGGCCGAGGUCGAGUUGACGCACGAGCGCAACCGCGCGGUCUCCGAGCCCGAGGUGGCGGAGGCCACGCUGUUCAUCAACGGGACAGUUCUCAAGGCGAAGCAGGCCACGGCGGACAUGUACGCCUCCAUAGACGGGAUGGUGGACAAGCUGGAGCGGCAGGUCCGGCGCUUCAGGGGACGCCAGCUCGACCGCUGGCAGGGUCAGCGCGACCGGGUGAUGCCCGAGCCCGUGCU
RNAcentral lists this unclassified non-coding RNA (242 nucleotides) under plant metagenome. RNAcentral's name for it is "partial contains 5.8S ribosomal RNA, internal transcribed spacer 2, and large subunit ribosomal RNA". The record is from RNAcentral.